UCGGGAAUUUUGGGCAAUGGGCGAAAGCCUGACCCAGCAACGCCGCGUGAGGGAUGAAGUAUUUCGGUAUGUAAACCUCGAAAGAAUGGGAAGAAUAAAUGACGGUACCAUUUAUAAGCUCCGGCUAACUACGUGCCAGCAGCCGCGGUAAUACGUAGGGAGCAAGCGUUGUUCGGAUUUACUGGGCGUAAAGGGCGCGUAGGCGGCGCGGUAAGUCACUUGUGAAAUCUCUGAGCUUAACUCAGAACGGCCAAGUGAUACUGCUGUGCUAGAGUGCGGAAGAGGCAACCGGAAUUCUUGGUGUAGCGGUGAAAUGCGUAGAUAUCAAGAGGAACACUUGAGGCGAAGGCGGGUUGCUGGGCCGACACUGACGCUGAUGCGCGAAAGCCAGGGGAGCAAACG
Molecule: ribosomal RNA, 402 nt
Filed under: uncultured bacterium
Lineage: Bacteria
Description: bacterial SSU rRNA
Rfam family: Bacterial small subunit ribosomal RNA
Source: RNAcentral